RNAcentral lists this ribosomal RNA (254 nucleotides) under uncultured bacterium. RNAcentral's name for it is "partial 16S ribosomal RNA". It matches the Rfam family "Bacterial small subunit ribosomal RNA", at positions 524 to 777 of the family's 1533-position model. The record is from RNAcentral.
UACAGAGGUGGCAAGCGUUGUUCGGAAUUACUGGGCGUAAAGGGCGCGUAGGCGGUUCUACAAGUCCCGCGUGAAAGCCCCCGGCUCAACUGGGGAACUGCGCGGGAAACUGUAGGGCUUGAGUUCGGGAGAGGGAAGCGGAAUUCCGGGUGUAGCGGUGAAAUGCGCAGAUAUCGGGAGGAACACCAAUGGCGAAGGCAGCUCGCUGGGACGUUACUGACGCUGAGACGCGAAAGCGUGGGGAGCAAACAGGG